RNAcentral lists this ribosomal RNA (439 nucleotides) under uncultured bacterium. Its description in RNAcentral is "partial 16S ribosomal RNA". It matches the Rfam family "Bacterial small subunit ribosomal RNA", at positions 28 to 507 of the family's 1533-position model. The record is from RNAcentral.
GACGAACGCUGGCGGCGUGCCUAACACAUGCAAGUCGAACGGAAAGUUCGGGUCUAGUGGCCCACGGGGGCGUAACGCGGGGGAACCCGCGCGUAGGUUCGGCAUAACUCCCCGAAAGGGGUGCUAAUACCGGAUAAAUUCCUGGGACGAAAGAUUUAUCGGCGGUGGAUGGGGUCGCGGUGUAUUGGCUUGUUGGUGGGGUAGUGGCUUACCAAGGCUUUGACGGGUAGCCGGUCUGCGAGGGCGACCGGCCACCUUGGGACUGAGAUACGGCCCCGACUCCUACGGGAGGCAGCCGUGGGGAAUAUUGCCCAAUGGGCGGAAGCCUGAUGCAGCAACGCCGCGUGCGGGAUGACGGCCUUCGGGUUGUAAACCGCUUUCAGCAGGGGCGAAGCUUGUGGUGACGGUACCUGCAGAAGAAGCACCGGCUAACUACGUG